GUGAGGAAUAUUGGUCAAUGGACGGAAGUCUGAACCAGCCAUGCCGCGUGCAGGAAUAAGGUCCUAUGGAUUGUAAACUGCUUUUAUUCGGGAAUAAACCUCUUUACGUGUAGGGAGCUGAAGGUACCGAAUGAAUAAGCACCGGCUAACUCCGUGCCAGCAGCCGCGGUAAUACGGAGGGUGCAAGCGUUAUCCGGAAUCAUUGGGUUUAAAGGGUCCGCAGGCGGGCUAUCAAGUCAGAGGUGAAAUCCCACAGCUUAACUGUGGAACUGCCUUUGAAACUGAUGGUCUUGAAUUAAGUGGGCGUUGGCGGAAUAUGACAUGUAGCGGUGAAAUGCAUAGAUAUGUCAUGGAACACCGAAAGCGAAGGCAGCUAACGAUACUUAUAUUGACGCUCAUGGACGAAAGCGUGGGUAGCGAACAGGAUUAGAAACCCUAGUAGUCC
RNAcentral lists this ribosomal RNA (445 nucleotides) under uncultured bacterium. Its description in RNAcentral is "partial 16S ribosomal RNA". It matches the Rfam family "Bacterial small subunit ribosomal RNA", at positions 354 to 796 of the family's 1533-position model. The record is from RNAcentral.